GAGAGUUAAAUAGUACGUGAAAUUGUUGAAAGGGAAACGAUUGAAGUCAGUCAUGCUAGUGAAAAUUCAGUUUGGUGGGUUUUGGGUUCAGGAGUUGAGGCAGGGUCAAACCGUUUCUCUUUUGAACUUGGAAUUUGUCAGAUGCACUUUUUCUUUGGCAGGUCAGCGUCGAUUUCGGAGGUUGUAAAAUACUUGGGGAAAAGUAGCUCUGCUUCGGGAGAGUGUUAUAGACCUUGGGUGAUGCGGCCUGCGGGAUCGAGGAUUGCAGCAAAUGCUUUUGGCUUGUCGCCUGAUCUCUGGACGUCAUCUCGCUUGUAUCAACAUUCUUGCCACCUGUGGGUACUAAUGCCCAUUAGGUUAGAGCGAUCAAAAAUUUUGCUAAGGAUGCUGACGUAAUGGCUUUAAACGA
This 409-nucleotide ribosomal RNA is filed under the name uncultured Diversispora. RNAcentral describes it as "partial 28S ribosomal RNA". Lineage: Eukaryota; Fungi; Glomeromycota; Glomeromycetes; Diversisporales; Diversisporaceae. The record is from RNAcentral.